This 593-nucleotide ribosomal RNA is filed under the name Escherichia coli. RNAcentral's name for it is "bacterial SSU rRNA". It matches the Rfam family "Bacterial small subunit ribosomal RNA", at positions 1 to 583 of the family's 1533-position model. The record is from RNAcentral. Lineage: Bacteria; Pseudomonadati; Pseudomonadota; Gammaproteobacteria; Enterobacterales; Enterobacteriaceae.
AAAUUGAAGAGUUUGAUCAUGGCUCAGAUUGAACGCUGGCGGCAGGCCUAACACAUGCAAGUCGAACGGUAACAGGAAGAAGCUUGCUUCUUUGCUGACGAGUGGCGGACGGGUGAGUAAUGUCUGGGAAACUGCCUGAUGGAGGGGGAUAACUACUGGAAACGGUAGCUAAUACCGCAUAACGUCGCAAGACCAAAGAGGGGGACCUUCGGGCCUCUUGCCAUCGGAUGUGCCCAGAUGGGAUUAGCUAGUAGGUGGGGUAACGGCUCACCUAGGCGACGAUCCCUAGCUGGUCUGAGAGGAUGACCAGCCACACUGGAACUGAGACACGGUCCAGACUCCUACGGGAGGCAGCAGUGGGGAAUAUUGCACAAUGGGCGCAAGCCUGAUGCAGCCAUGCCGCGUGUAUGAAGAAGGCCUUCGGGUUGUAAAGUACUUUCAGCGGGGAGGAAGGGAGUAAAGUUAAUACCUUUGCUCAUUGACGUUACCCGCAGAAGAAGCACCGGCUAACUCCGUGCCAGCAGCCGCGGUAAUACGGAGGGUGCAAGCGUUAAUCGGAAUUACUGGGCGUAAAGCGCACGCAGGCGGUUUGU